UUUCCGGUUGAUCCUGCCGGACCUGACUGCUAUCGGAUUGAUACUAAGCCAUGCGAGUCAUUGUAGCAAUACAAGGCANACGGCUCAGUAACGCGUAGUCAACCUAACCUAUGGACGGGAAUAACCUCGGGAAACUGAGAAUAAUGCCCGAUAGAACACUAUAUCUGGAAUGGUUUGUGUUCCAAAUGAUUUAUCGCCGUAGGAUGGGACUGCGGCCUAUCAGUUUGUUGGUGAGGUAAUGGCCCACCAAGACUAUUACAGGUACGGGCUCUGAGAGGAGUAGCCCGGAGAUGGGUACUGAGACACGGACCCAGGCCCUAUGGGGCGCAGCAGGCGAGAAAACUUUGCAAUGUGCGAAAGCACGACAAGGUUAAUCCGAGUGGUUUGUGCUAAACGAACCUUUUGUCGGUCCUAGAAACACCGAUGAAUAAGGGGUGGGCAAGUUCUGGUGUCAGCCGCCGCGGUAAAACCAGCACCUCAAGUGGUCAGAAUGAUUAUUGGGCCUAAAGCAUCCGCAGCCGGCUCUGUAAGUUUUCGGUUAAAUCUGUACGCUCAACGUACAGGCUGCCGGGAAUACUGCAGAGCUAGGGAGUGGGAGAGGUAGACGGUACUCGGUAGGAAGGGGUAAAAUCCUUUGAUCUAUUGAUGACCACCUGUGGNGAAGGCGGUCUACCAGAACACGUCCGACGGUGAGGGAUGAAAGCUGGGGGAGCAAACCGGAUUAGAUACCCGGGUAGUCCCAGCUGUAACCUAUGCAAACUCAGUGAUGCAUUGGCUUGUGGCCAAUGCAGUGCUGCAGGGAAGCCGUUAAGUUUGCCGCCUGGGAAGUACGUACGCAAGUAUGAAACUUAAAGGAAUUGGCGGGGGAGCACCACAAGGGGUGAAGCCUGCGGUUCAAUUGGAUUCAACGCCGG
This 914-nucleotide ribosomal RNA is filed under the name uncultured archaeon. Its description in RNAcentral is "bacterial SSU rRNA". It matches the Rfam family "Archaeal small subunit ribosomal RNA", at positions 1 to 921 of the family's 1478-position model. The record is from RNAcentral.